RNAcentral lists this ribosomal RNA (253 nucleotides) under uncultured bacterium. RNAcentral's name for it is "partial 16S ribosomal RNA". It matches the Rfam family "Bacterial small subunit ribosomal RNA", at positions 524 to 776 of the family's 1533-position model. The record is from RNAcentral.
UACGUAGGGUGCAAGCGUUGUCCGGAAUUAUUGGGCGUAAAGAGCUCGUAGGCGGUUUGUCGCGUCGAAUGUGAAAACCCUGGGCUCAACCCCGGGCCUGCAUUCGAUACGGGCAGACUAGAGUUCGGUAGGGGAGUCUGGAAUUCCUGGUGUAGCGGUGAAAUGCGCAGAUAUCAGGAGGAACACCGGUGGCGAAGGCGGGACUCUGGGCCGAUACUGACGCUGAGGAGCGAAAGCGUGGGGAGCAAACAGG